Molecule: non-coding RNA, 2518 nt
Organism: Taeniopygia guttata (zebra finch)
Lineage: Eukaryota; Metazoa; Chordata; Aves; Passeriformes; Estrildidae
Source: RefSeq, a predicted model, not a curated record
AGAGAAAAGUCAACAGACAUAGCUCAGAUCAGUAGUCAAAGCUUUGAGAACUAUCCAAAUGUUCCAAGUGCUCAUCCAAGUGACAGGCAUUUGAACAGAGUCGCAGUAGUGCUCAUGAACCUGCUCCAACAGCUCACUGAAUACAAUAAUUCGAAGGGAACCAGGCGUGCCGCGCCUGCAUUUGCCGGAGUGGUGCGAGCAGGUGGAGCGCGCUGGAGCCGGCCAGGAGAAAGCACGGAGCACGCUGCGCGCACGGACUAAGUACGGAACGGGGGGAAACCGGAGCAGCCAAUGGGACUCAGCCAAUGCUGUGCACGCUGGGCUCAGAGGAAGGAAGCAAAACCUGGGACAGAAGGAAAACAGUUUUUCCCAUACUGCUUGCUUUGUUCUUCCAAGCACAAGGGCACCCACCAAUAGAAAACUCCCCUAAGCUCCAAGAACUCCAAGACCAAAAUCAAAUAUGUUGACAUUUUUUGUAGUGAGUUGUGAAAGCCAACAUUCAGUAUUCAAGACAUGGCAUGAAUGGACCACCUCUCCAGUAUUAUGAAUGGUCAUUUAAUCUCCAUCCUCAAUUCACCAUGACCCCAGAAGCAAAGGCUGCCAAUUAUAUUGGACUGUACCAAACUAUGCAUAAUUGUUUUACAGAGAUUGCCUUUUCAGUGAUUUCAUUUUUAUUUCAAAAACCACAGCUUUUACUGAUUCAGCUGCUUUGACAUCCUUGUUUCUUAAUUAGAGAGGAAAAAACUUGAUGGAUGGACCACAUGGUGGAUAAAUUAUUAGCUAUGUGGUGGCACUCAAAGUGUUGCAGUCAAUGGCUCAAUGUCCAGCUGCAGACCAGUGAUGAGCAGUGAUCCUCAGGGGAUGGUGUUGUGACAUCUUUGUUAGCAACAGGGACACUGGGACUCAAUGCAUGCUCAUCAAGUCUGCCAGUGACACAAAGUGUGUGGCACAGUCAAUGCUGUAGGGAAAGGAUGCUUGAGAGGUUCACAGGCCAUUGUAAUCCUGAAAUCCAACAAGUAUAAGGACCUGCAUCUGGAUCUGGGCAAUCCCAAGUACCAUUUCAGGCUGGGCUGAAGAUAGAUCAAGAGCAGUUCUGCCAAAAAGGAUUUGUGGGUGUUGGUGGAUGAGUAGUUUCAACAUGACCCAGCAACAUAUGCUGGCAGCCCAGAAAAACACUUGUAUCCUGGGCUGCAGCAAAAGAAUUCUGGCUAGCAGGGGAAGACAGGGGAUUUUCACCCUUCUAUGUCACAUGCAAGAGAACCUACCUGGAGUGCCGCAUCCAGCUCUGGGACUCCCCGCAUAAGGACAUGGAACUAGUUGGAACUAGUCCAGAGGAGGGUCAUGAAGAUACUGGCCAGACUGGAACAUCUCUGCUCUUGAAGACAGGUUGAGGGAUUUCGGGUUUCUCAGCAAACAGAAGAGAAGGUUCCAGGGAUACCUUAUGGCACCUUCUAGUACCUAAACAGGACUUAAAAGGAAGAUGGAGUGGGAAUUUUAUGAGGGCAUGCAGUUACAGAACAAGGUGUGAUGGGAUGAAACUGAAAGAGGGUAGGUUUCGAUUAUAUAUAAGAAUCGAAUUCUUCGCUGUGAAGGUGAUGAGGCACUGGAACAGGCUGCCCAAAGAAGUUGUGGAUGCCCCAUCCUGGGAAAUGUUCAAAGCUAGGUUGGAUGGAACCUUGAGCAACCUGGUCUAGUAGGUGUCCCUGCACAGGGGAGGGAGUUGAAACUGAGUAAUCUUUGAAGUCUGUUCCAACCUAAACCUUUCUGUGAUCCUAUGAUUCUCUGAAAACAGAAAAAAAUAUGCAAAUAGAACAAAAUACCAACAGAACAAAAUACUUGAUUGAAACAAAUAGUUCAGUUAUACUGCAGAAUACCUUUCUUUUGAAGGAAGUAGAGGUAAACCAUAUUCUUGUAAAUCUCAGUGUCAGACAGGCAUGUGAAAGGAAUAAAACAUUUUGAUUUUAAAUAGUCUUAACCAAUUUUGUAUUUCAGUUUUGUAUACUUGGAGUAAGGCAAUCACAUUUCUCAGACAUAUAUUACUUAUUAUUUAGCUACUGCAACAGUAAACCUACAGUCCCUACAAUUCUAAAUAAUUUGAGAGUGAUAUACUUAGGUGUAUGACAAACUUUUUUCAAAAGGUUUUGCAGUAGACUCAAGCCAAUGUUAUGAAUUUUUAGCUGUUGCCUGGGGUUGUAUUAAUUGUAAAUUUUUAAGGAUAUAAAAUAUUUUAAAAUUUCUUCUCUGUGUAGACAAUAGUCCUUAGUUAAGGAAUUCACCCUUUCUAGUUAAGUUGAUUUUACUCACUCCCCCAAAACAUAUUUAUACACUUCAUAAAAGUAUGGAUUGAUUUUGUACCUCUUAGUUUUUGAAUUAAAGAACUGUAAGAGUUUACCUUGAAAACUGUAACAUGCUUGUACUUAAAUGUCCCCAGACAAACAUCUGCCACCCUGUUAAAUGACUCUAUGCUGGCCACUACUGUAUGGAGAAAAGUGUCAUCAAAUAAAUAUUUCAAAUAUUG